Pteronotus mesoamericanus is the source of this 104-nucleotide small nuclear RNA. The record is from RefSeq and is a predicted model, not a curated record. NCBI's taxonomy places the organism in Eukaryota, Metazoa, Chordata, Mammalia, Chiroptera, Mormoopidae.
GUGCUAGCUUAGGCAGCGCACAUACUAAAAUUGGAACAAUACCGAGAUCAGCAUGGAGCAUGCACAAGAACGAUAUGCAAAUUUGUGAAGCUUCCAUAGUAAAA